AUUUUUUUUAGUUUGAAAUUAACUUUUUUUAUAUUUAUUGUUUUGAUAUGCGAAUAUUUUUAAAACUAAUCUUCCCUGUACUCCCAAAUGCCCUAAUUGAGAGAGAGAAAACGAAGUAAUUCCAUGCUUGGAUGAAUUUGGGAGCUCAUUUGUGACCAACCAAGAUCAAUUGGCAUGUUGCUUGCAUCCAUUUGUUUUGUUGUUGUUCUUGAGCUGACGAGAAGGCCACCUAAAGCCCUAUUGGGUUUACUUCAAAAUUAUUUUUCUUGGAAUAACAUAGCCAAAUUCUUGAUUUUGCACCAGGCUCUUGCUUGAGUAUUUUGGGGUUUCCUAAAUUUGAUCUGCUACCGCCACGAAGUGUGCCAAGUUCUUGAUUAAGCACCAUGCUUUUGCCUGAAAUAGUUUGCCAGCAAUAUCAAAAGACAUGAGACUAGUCUGCAGACAGCAAUGGAACAAGCUGAACAAAUUUUUUUUUUUUUUUUAGUUUAACGUGGGUGUCCGGGCCAGCUUGCGCGCAUCUCGACUAAUACCACGGACCCUGAAGUUAACGAUCAUGUAAGCCUCCAGUGGCCAUCAUAUGAGUAACCACAUGGCUCGAAUCUGAGACCAAAGAGAGAGCAAAUCUCUUAUUUUCAAGCUUUUACCACUGGGCCACCACCUAGAUGGUCAAGCUGAACAAAAUUUAGUGGAACAAGAAUGUGAUCAAUGGCCCAAAUGGCAAGGCAGCAAGAAAAUGAAAUUAAGAGGGGCUAAAUUAGAAAAAAAACUAUUACAGGGGAGCUAAAAUUUCUUUCUUUCUAUUUUCUAGGCUAAAACUAUAAAUACCGUUAGUGGCUUGAAAAAAUAAUUUCCUUGAAGAUCCCGGGAUCUCUACCAGCCUCCUUGUCUCCGCCGCUGCCAAAUGGCCUAGUGGUGUCUCAUGCUUCCAAAAGAAAGGUAAAAAAUUAAAGCAACUUUUUUGAAUUUGAACCCAUGAUAAUGGGGACGGAUGAGUUGUAUAUUUUCAAUGGUCAAAAAGAGAGAAAGAAAGGAAGUGGUGGAAUAAGUUUAUGCAUCCUUGGAAAAUGGAUAUUCUUGAUUCCACUAAUCUUGUAUGAUUACGCAAUCUAAAUACCAUAAUUAAUUCCAAAGCUAGUUGCUAAAGGGUUUGUAUUAUCUAGGAAAUAUUUGUUUUCUUGUUUCAAUCUUUGUUUUACAAUG
Molecule: long non-coding RNA, 1200 nt
Filed under: Populus trichocarpa (black cottonwood)
Lineage: Eukaryota; Viridiplantae; Streptophyta; Magnoliopsida; Malpighiales; Salicaceae
Description: long non-coding RNA (PTRI_LNC004251)
Source: RNAcentral